This 496-nucleotide ribosomal RNA is filed under the name uncultured bacterium. RNAcentral describes it as "partial 16S ribosomal RNA". It matches the Rfam family "Bacterial small subunit ribosomal RNA", at positions 28 to 506 of the family's 1533-position model. The record is from RNAcentral.
GAUGAACGCUGGCGGCGUGCCUAAUACAUGCAAGUCGAGCGAACAGACGAGGAGCUUGCUCCUCUGACGUUAGCGGCGGACGGGUGAGUAACACGUGGAUAACCUACCUAUAAGACUGGGAUAACUUCGGGAAACCGGAGCUAAUACCGGAUAAUAUAUUGAACCGCAUGGUUCAAUAGUGAAAGACGGUUUUGCUGUCACUUAUAGAUGGAUCCGCGCCGCAUUAGCUAGUUGGUAAGGUAACGGCUUACCAAGGCAACGAUGCGUAGCCGACCUGAGAGGGUGAUCGGCCACACUGGAACUGAGACACGGUCCAGACUCCUACGGGAGGCAGCAGUAGGGAAUCUUCCGAAAUGGGCGAAAGCCUGACGGAGCAACGCCGCGUGAGUGAUGAAGGUCUUCGGAUCGUAAAACUCUGUUAUUAGGGAAGAACAAAUGUGUAAGUAACUAUGCACGUCUUGACGGUACCUAAUCAGAAAGCCACGGCUAACUACGU